UGAAGCGGCAACAGCUCGAAUUUGAAAUCUGGCCUCGGCCCGAGUUGUAAUCUGUAGAGGACGCUUUUGGCGCGGUGCCUUCCGAGUUCCCUGGAACGGGACGCCACAGAGGGUGAGAGCCCCGUAAGGUCGGACACCAAGCCUGUGUAAAGCCCCUUCGACGAGUCGAGUAGCUUGGGAAUGCUGCUCUAAGCGGGAGGUAUACUUCUUCUAAAGCUAAAUAUUGGCCAGAGACCGAUAGCGCACAAGUAGAGUGAUCGAAAGAUGAAAAGCACUUUGAAAAGAGGGUCAAAUAGUACGUGAAAUUGUUGAAAGGGAAGCGCUUGUGAUCAGACUCGCGCCGGGCGGAUCAUCCAGUGGUCUCCACUGGUGCACUCCGGCCGGCGCGGGCCAGCGUCGGCUGUUGCGGGGGGACAAAAGCUCUGGGAACGUGGCUCUCUCCGGGGAGUGUUAUAGCCCUCUGCAGAAUACC
RNAcentral lists this ribosomal RNA (472 nucleotides) under Phialemonium atrogriseum. RNAcentral describes it as "eukaryotic LSU rRNA". It matches the Rfam family "Eukaryotic large subunit ribosomal RNA", at positions 94 to 577 of the family's 3401-position model. Lineage: Eukaryota; Fungi; Ascomycota; Sordariomycetes; Cephalothecales; Cephalothecaceae. The record is from RNAcentral.